CCUACGGGAGGCAGCAGUGGGGAAUUUUGGACAAUGGGCGAAAGCCUGAUCCAGCAAUGCCGCGUGUGGGAAGAAGGCCUUCGGGUUGUAAACCACUUUUGUACGGAACGAAACGGUUCGCUUUAAUACAGUGGGCUAAUGACGGUACCGUAAGAAUAAGCACCGGCUAACUACGUGCCAGCAGCCGCGGUAAUACGUAGGGUGCGAGCGUUAAUCGGAAUUACUGGGCGUAAAGCGUGCGCAGGCGGUUAUACAAGACAGUUGUGAAAUCCCCGGGCUCAACCUGGGAAUUGCAUCUGUGACUGUAUAGCUAGAGUACGGUAGAGGGGGAUGGAAUUCCGCGUGUAGCAGUGAAAUGCGUAGAUAUGCGGAGGAACACCGAUGGCGAAGGCAAUCCCCUGGACCUGUACUGACGCUCAUGCACGAAAGCGUGGGGAGCAAACAGGAUUAGAUACCCUGGUAGUCCACGCCCUAAACGAUGUCAACUGGUUGUUGGGUGCAUUAGUACUCAGUAACGAAGCUAACGCGUGAAGUUGACCGCCUGGGGAGGUACGGCCGCGAGUAGAACGACGAAUAGAGUAGUACGGCGUGAGACGUGCCGACGGACGACGACGAGGGAGGAGG
This 624-nucleotide ribosomal RNA is filed under the name uncultured bacterium. Its description in RNAcentral is "bacterial SSU rRNA". The stretch from base 1 to 542 matches the Rfam family "Bacterial small subunit ribosomal RNA", at positions 338 to 873 of the family's 1533-position model. The record is from RNAcentral.